AACCCAAAGCCUCUUGCAAACUUUUCCAAAAUCUAGAAGUAAAUCUUGGAUCUCUAUCUGACACAAUGCUCGAAGGAACACCAUGCAACCUCACGAUCUCCUUGAUAUAAAUCUCUGCCAACUGGGCAACAGGGAAACUAAUAUUGAUCGGUAGAAAAUGAGCCGAUUUCGUCAAUCUAUCAACAAUAACCCAAAUUGCGUC
This 202-nucleotide long non-coding RNA is filed under the name Medicago truncatula (barrel medic). Its description in RNAcentral is "long non-coding RNA (MTRU_LNC003234)". Lineage: Eukaryota; Viridiplantae; Streptophyta; Magnoliopsida; Fabales; Fabaceae. The record is from RNAcentral.